This 843-nucleotide ribosomal RNA is filed under the name Triticum aestivum (bread wheat). RNAcentral's name for it is "partial small subunit ribosomal RNA". The record is from RNAcentral. Lineage: Eukaryota; Viridiplantae; Streptophyta; Magnoliopsida; Poales; Poaceae.
AUGCACGACACGGAAGGCCUGUCGUUCAUGAAGCAUGGUUGUGUCUUCAGUGCGCCCCACCGGAUGAACGACAUGCUGGGACACGCUAUCCCUGAUUUAUGCCGCGUCAGCUUGGAUGAGUCUCCAUCGUGUGGAACCGGACUAGAAAGCCGCAACAAUGAUUCCCGUUGCCCACCACUAUGGAUCGUGCCAUCCAUGAAGGACACCUGGGACUGGAACCUGGAGGAGGACAUGUACCCCAUCUAUAACGUCAGACGCAAAUGCGCUGGCCUUCAUGAUUCCAGGACCUGGAAUCAUACCAGCCGAUGGGUGUCGAACAAGGAUUGGCCGGUGCUGCCGGCUGGCGUCAAGUUUGAUCCCACGGAUCAGGAGCUGAUCGAGCACCUUGAGGCCAAAGUGAGUGCUGACAGCGCGAGAUCUCACCCUCUCAUCGAUUUGUUCAUACCAACCAUCGACAGCGAGCACGACAUAUGCUACACCCAUCCUGAGAAACUUCCAGGUAUCACACUGAGUGGCCUAAGGAAGCAUUUCUUCCAGCGCAAUUCCAGGGCGUUCAAAAGGGGCACGUGGAUGCGUCGCAAGAUACAGUCUGAGUGCGGCAUGAACGCGAUGUGGCACAACACUGGCAAUACCUUGCUGGUGAUGGUCAACGACCGGCAAACGGGCAGCAAAAAGGUUCUGGUGCUGCACACCAACAAGAACUUCGACCAGCAGAGGACCCAUUGGGUGAUGCACCAGUACAACCUCGGGGACCUGGAGCAAGAGAAGGAGCGGGAGCUGGUCCUCUGCAAGAUUUUCUACCAGACGAACACUAGGGCCAGGAGUAAAAAGAUUAUAAGUUAG